Mytilinidion resinicola is the source of this 137-nucleotide non-coding RNA. The record is from the annotation of a RefSeq genome assembly. Lineage: Eukaryota; Fungi; Ascomycota; Dothideomycetes; Mytilinidiales; Mytilinidiaceae.
GACUGAGUGGUUUAGUGGUAAAAUUAGGUAAGCAUUGUCUACUCAACUAACUAUCUGGUCAUCAAAUUGCUAACGUAUACAAGCCGUUGCCAAAAAGCACAAUCGGCUAGCCCCGGGUUCGAUUCCCGGCUCAGUCA